CCAGACUCCUACGGGAGGCAGCAGUGAGGAAUAUUGGUCAAUGGUCGGGAGACUGAACCAGCCAAGCCGCGUGAGGGAUGAAGGUACAGAGUAUCGUAAACCUCUUUUGUCAGGGAACAAAGGCGGGGACGUGUCCCCGGAUGAGUGUACCUGAGGAAAAAGCAUCGGCUAACUCCGUGCCAGCAGCCGCGGUAAUACGGAGGAUGCGAGCGUUAUCCGGAUUUAUUGGGUUUAAAGGGUGCGUAGGCGGAAUGCCAAGUCAGGGGUAAACUCGGGGGGCUAAACCUCGCUCCGCCGGUGAAACUGGGGGGCUGGAGUUGGAGAGAAGUACGCGGAAUGCGCGGUGUAGCGGUGAAACGCUUAGAUAUCGCGCAGAACCCCGAGUGCGAAGGCAGCGUACCGGCUCCACACUGACGCUGAGGCACGAAAGCGUGGGUAUCGAACAGGAUUAGAUACCCGCGUA
RNAcentral lists this ribosomal RNA (463 nucleotides) under uncultured bacterium. RNAcentral's name for it is "bacterial SSU rRNA". It matches the Rfam family "Bacterial small subunit ribosomal RNA", at positions 331 to 792 of the family's 1533-position model. The record is from RNAcentral.